CCUACGGGAGGCAGCAGUGAGGAAUAUUGGUCAAUGGACGAGAGCCUGAACCAGCCAAGUAGCGUGAAGGAUGACUGCCCUAUGGGUUGUAAACUUCUUUUAUAAAGGAAUAAAACGAGCCACGUGUGCCUUUUUGCAAGUACUCUAUGAAUAAGGAUCGGCUAACUCCGUGCCAGCAGCCGCGGUAAUACGGAGGAUACGAGCGUUAUCCGGAUUUAUUGGGUUUAAAGGGCGCGUAGAUGGGUUGUUAAGUCAGUUGUGAAAGUUUGGGGCUCAACCGUAAAAGUGCAAUUGAUACUGGCAGUCUUGAGUACAGGUGAGGUAGGCGGAAUUCGUGGUGUAGCGGUGAAAUGCUUAGAUAUCACGAAGAACCCCGAUUGCGAAGGCAGCUUACUAAACUGUGACUGACAUUGAUGCUCGAAAGUGUGGGUAUCGAACAGGAUUAGAUACCCGAGUAGUC
RNAcentral lists this ribosomal RNA (460 nucleotides) under uncultured bacterium. RNAcentral describes it as "partial 16S ribosomal RNA". It matches the Rfam family "Bacterial small subunit ribosomal RNA", at positions 338 to 795 of the family's 1533-position model. The record is from RNAcentral.